CAGAACUUUGGAGAAACCCAUUGAGUUGGGUGCCGAAGGUGCAAAGCGUGAACGCGCUAAUCUCUCAGGCAAAAGGACAAAGC
Molecule: non-coding RNA, 83 nt
Filed under: uncultured Faecousia sp.
Lineage: Bacteria; Bacillati; Bacillota; Clostridia; Eubacteriales; Oscillospiraceae
Description: Glycine riboswitch
Rfam family: Glycine riboswitch aptamer
About the family: This family represents the bacterial glycine riboswitch. Glycine riboswitches usually consist of two metabolite-binding aptamers domains with similar structures in tandem.
Source: RNAcentral